ACCCAGGAUAACUCAGUCAGUAGAGCAUGAGACUCUUAAUCCCAGGUUCAUGGGUUUGAACCCCACAUUGGGCA
Podarcis lilfordi (Lilford's wall lizard) is the source of this 74-nucleotide non-coding RNA. The record is from the annotation of a GenBank genome assembly. NCBI's taxonomy places the organism in Eukaryota, Metazoa, Chordata, Lepidosauria, Squamata, Lacertidae.